UACGUAGGGUGCAAGCGUUAUCCGGAAUUAUUGGGCGUAAAGAGCUCGUAGGCGGUUUGUCGCGUCGACUGUGAAAACCCGAGGCUUAACCUCGGGCCUGCAGUCGAUACGGGCAGACUAGAGUUCGGUAGGGGAGACUGGAAUUCCUGGUGUAGCGGUGAAAUGCGCAGAUAUCAGGAGGAACACCGGUGGCGAAGGCGGGUCUCUGGGCCGAUACUGACGCUGAGGAGCGAAAGCGUGGGGAGCGAACAGG
Molecule: ribosomal RNA, 253 nt
Filed under: uncultured bacterium
Lineage: Bacteria
Description: partial 16S ribosomal RNA
Rfam family: Bacterial small subunit ribosomal RNA
Source: RNAcentral